AUUGAACGCUGGCGGCAGGCUUAACACAUGCAAGUCGAGCGGGGUGAUGGUGCUUGCACUAUCACUUAGCGGCGGACGGGUGAGUAAUGCUUAGGAAUCUGCCUAUUAGUGGGGGACGACAUCUCGAAAGGGAUGCUAAUACCGCAUACGUCCUACGGGAGAAAGCAGGGGAUCACUUGUGACCUUGCGCUAAUAGAUGAGCCUAAGUCGGAUUAGCUAGUUGGUGGGGUAAAGGCCUACCAAGGCGACGAUCUGUAGCGGGUCUGAGAGGAUGAUCCGCCAAACUAGGACUGAAGCACGGCCCAGACUCCUACGGGAGGCAGGAGUGGGGAAUAUUGGAAAAUGGGGGGAACCCUGAUCCAGCCAUGCCGCGUGUGUGAAGAAGGCCUUAUGGUUGUAAAGCACUUUAAGCGAGGAGGAGGCUCUUUUGGUUAAUACCCAAGAUGAGUGGACGUUACUCGCAGAAUAAGCACCGGCUAACUCUGUGCCAGCCGCCGCAGUAA
RNAcentral lists this ribosomal RNA (503 nucleotides) under uncultured bacterium. RNAcentral's name for it is "partial 16S ribosomal RNA". It matches the Rfam family "Bacterial small subunit ribosomal RNA", at positions 30 to 523 of the family's 1533-position model. The record is from RNAcentral.